Long non-coding RNA from Aedes aegypti (yellow fever mosquito), 873 nucleotides. RefSeq lists it as uncharacterized. The transcript has 2 exons. NCBI's taxonomy places the organism in Eukaryota, Metazoa, Arthropoda, Insecta, Diptera, Culicidae. The record is from RefSeq and is a predicted model, not a curated record.
UUUACCCCACGGUCUCCGGAAAAAUAUUUCUUGUUGAUAUCCCUCCCGACCCCCUUUUCCCCACAUGAUUUUACCACAAACGUGGUGAAUUUUCGAUCAGCUGACUUGCGGCUGGCUGAUGCUGUUCAUGACAGAUGAGUUUUUGUUUAUGUUUACAUUAUCAAAUAUCGGAGGUUCCAAAAAGUUUUGUGAUGUGAAACCUUUAAUUUUUUUUAAUGUGAGCCUGAAAUUUACAAAACUUUUGAUAAGCUCAAGGUGCUCCUACGAGGCACGACUGGAACAUGUGUAAAGCGUGUAAACGAGUGUGUGGAACGAAUGGGUUCCGGAAACAACAGAGGCAGUUAUAGAACUGGAGAAAGAAGCCGAUUGGUGGCCGAUUAAAACGCCGGUAGAGGUACUUGAGAAUGAAACUACAGGGUGUAAUCGAAGAAGCAGUUGAAGAGCAUACUGCUUCCGCCCUAGCUGCAGAACCCAUUCAACGAACCAGCUAAUCCGACGCAAAGAAGAUACUGGUCACUGUACAUUCCGGCAGCGACGACGUGUUGUUAGCAGAAGUUCCGCUUCUGUCGACUACUGGUAACCGGCUUACAAAUCUGACAACGGGGCAAAGUUUCGACACCGUCCUUCAACCAUAAAGCAUUCCUCCAACGCCCUCUGACCCGAAUCCAUCGAAAUAUUAUCAUAUCCUCAACGAAGUCGACUAUCAUACUGCACUUUCAGACGCUGAGUGGCAUGAGAAGCACUAGGAACAAUUUCAUGCCACAUUGAAACCGAGCAAGGUAGUUCGUUUAACAUACCGCUGAACCAGACCUUUAUGUUAUCAUGGACGAACAAAAUGUUCGAAUAUUAAACUGGUGUGCAUGACUAUGCUUA